Molecule: ribosomal RNA, 253 nt
Filed under: uncultured bacterium
Lineage: Bacteria
Description: partial 16S ribosomal RNA
Rfam family: Bacterial small subunit ribosomal RNA
Source: RNAcentral
GACGUAGGGCGCGAGCGUUGUCCGGAUUUAUUGGGCGUAAAGAGCUCGUAGGCGGCUUGUUGCGUCGACUGUGAAAACCCGCGGCUUAACUGCGGGCUUGCAGUUGAUACGGGCAGGCUAGAGUUCGGUAGGGGAGACUGGAAUUCCUGGUGUAGCGGUGAAAUGCGCAGAUAUCAGGAGGAACACCGGUGGCGAAAGCGGCUUCCUGGCCCGACACUGACGCUCAUGUACGAAAGCGUGGGGAGCAAACAGG